UUAAGCGACUAAGCGUACACGGUGGAUGCCCUGGCAGUCAGAGGCGAUGAAGGACGUGCUAAUCUGCGAAAAGCGCCGGCGAGGUGAUAUGAACCUUUGACCCGGCGAUGUCCGAAUGGGGAAACCCAGUGUGUUCCGACACACUAUCGUUAACUGAAUACAUAGGUUAACGAGGCGAACCGGGGGAACUGAAACAUCUAAGUACCCCGAGGAAAAGAAAUCAACCGAGAUUCCCCCAGUAGCGGCGAGCGAACGGGGAGCAGCCCAGAGUCUGAAUCAGCUUGUGUGUUAGUGGAACGGUCUGGAAAGUCCGACGGUACAGGGUGAUAGUCCCGUACACCAAAAUGCACAGGCUGUGAACUCGAAGAGUAGGGCGGGACACGUGGUAUCCUGUCUGAAUAUGGGGGGACCAUCCUCCAAGGCUAAAUACUCCUGACUGACCGAUAGUGAACCAGUACCGUGAGGGAAAGGCGAAAAGAACCCCGGCGAGGGGAGUGAAAAAGAACCUGAAACCGUGUACGUACAAGCAGUGGGAGCACCUUCGGGUGUGACUGCGUACCUUUUGUAUAAUGGGUCAGCGACUUAUAUUCUGUAGCAAGGUUAACCGUAUAGGGGAGCCGAAGGGAAACCGAGUCUUAACUGGGCGUUAAGUUGCAGGGUAUAGACCCGAAACCCGGUGAUCUAGCCAUGGGCAGGUUGAAGGUUGGGUAACACUAACUGGAGGACCGAACCGACUAAUGUUGAAAAAUUAGCGGAUGACUUGUGGCUGGGGGUGAAAGGCCAAUCAAACCGGGAGAUAGCUGGUUCUCCCCGAAAGCUAUUUAGGUAGCGCCUCGUGAACUCAUCUUCGGGGGUAGAGCACUGUUUCGGCUAGGGGGUCAUCCCGACUUACCAACCCGAUGCAAACUACGAAUACCGAAGAAUGUUAUCACGGGAGACACACGGCGGGUGCUAACGUCCGUCGUGAAGAGGGAAACAACCCAGACCGCCAGCUAAGGUCCCAAAGUCAUGGUUAAGUGGGAAACGAUGUGGGAAGGCACAGACAGCCAGGAUGUUGGCUUAGAAGCAGCCAUCAUUUAAAGAAAGCGUAAUAGCUCACUGGUCGAGUCGGCCUGCGCGGAAGAUGUAACGGGGCUAAACCAUGCACCGAAGCUGCGGCAGCGACACUAUGUGUUGUUGGGUAGGGGAGCGUUCUGUAAGCCGUUGAAGGUGUGCUGUGAGGCAUGCUGGAGGUAUCAGAAGUGCGAAUGCUGACAUAAGUAACGAUAAAGCGGGUGAAAAGCCCGCUCGCCGGAAGACCAAGGGUUCCUGUCCAACGUUAAUCGGGGCAGGGUGAGUCGACCCCUAAGGCGAGGCCGAAAGGCGUAGUCGAUGGGAAACAGGUUAAUAUUCCUGUACUUGGUGUUACUGCGAAGGGGGGACGGAGAAGGCUAUGUUAGCCGGGCGACGGUUGUCCCGGUUUAAGCAUGUAGGCGGAGGUUCCAGGUAAAUCCGGUACCUUAUUAACGCUGAGGUGUGAUGACGAGGCACUACGGUGCUGAAGUAACAAAUGCCCUGCUUCCAGGAAAAGCCUCUAAGCAUCAGGUAACAUCAAAUCGUACCCCAAACCGACACAGGUGGUCAGGUAGAGAAUACCAAGGCGCUUGAGAGAACUCGGGUGAAGGAACUAGGCAAAAUGGUGCCGUAACUUCGGGAGAAGGCACGCUGAUAUGUAGGUGAAGUGAUUUACUCAUGGAGCUGAAAUCAGUCGAAGAUACCAGCUGGCUGCAACUGUUUAUUAAAAACACAGCACUGUGCAAACACGAAAGUGGACGUAUACGGUGUGACGCCUGCCCGGUGCCGGAAGGUUAAUUGAUGGGGUUAGCGGCAACGCGAAGCUCUUGAUCGAAGCCCCGGUAAACGGCGGCCGUAACUAUAACGGUCCUAAGGUAGCGAAAUUCCUUGUCGGGUAAGUUCCGACCUGCACGAAUGGCGUAAUGAUGGCCAGGCUGUCUCCACCCGAGACUCAGUGAAAUUGAACUCGCUGUGAAGAUGCAGUGUACCCGCGGCAAGACGGAAAGACCCCGUGAACCUUUACUAUAGCUUGACACUGAACACUGGUCCUUGAUGUGUAGGAUAGGUGGGAGGCUUUGAAGCGUGGACGCCAGUCUGCGUGGAGCCAACCUUGAAAUACCACCCUUUAAUGGCUGGUGUUCUAACGUAGACCCGUAAUCCGGGUUGCGGACAGUGUCUGGUGGGUAGUUUGACUGGGGCGGUCUCCUCCCAAAGAGUAACGGAGGAGCACGAAGGUUAGCUAAUCCUGGUCGGACAUCAGGAGGUUAGUGCAAUGGCAUAAGCUAGCUUGACUGCGAGCGUGACGGCGCGAGCAGGUGCGAAAGCAGGUCAUAGUGAUCCGGUGGUUCUGAAUGGAAGGGCCAUCGCUCAACGGAUAAAAGGUACUCCGGGGAUAACAGGCUGAUACCGCCCAAGAGUUCAUAUCGACGGCGGUGUUUGGCACCUCGAUGUCGGCUCAUCACAUCCUGGGGCUGAAGUAGGUCCCAAGGGUAUGGCUGUUCGCCAUUUAAAGUGGUACGCGAGCUGGGUUUAGAACGUCGUGAGACAGUUCGGUCCCUAUCUGCCGUGGGCGCUGGAGAAUUGAGGGGGGCUGCUCCUAGUACGAGAGGACCGGAGUGGACGCAUCACUGGUGUUCGGGUUGUCAUGCCAAUGGCACUGCCCGGUAGCUAAAUGCGGAAGAGAUAAGUGCUGAAAGCAUCUAAGCACGAAACUUGCCCCGAGAUGAGUUCUCCCUGAGACUUUAAGUCUCCUGAAGGAACGUUGAAGACGACGACGUUGAUAGGUCGGGUGUGUAAGCGCAGCGAUGCGUUGAGCUAACCGAUACUAAUGAACCGUGAGGCUUAACCUU
RNAcentral lists this ribosomal RNA (2903 nucleotides) under human gut metagenome. RNAcentral describes it as "bacterial LSU rRNA". It matches the Rfam family "Bacterial large subunit ribosomal RNA". The record is from RNAcentral.